AUUGAACGCUGGCGGCAGGCCUAACACAUGCAAGUCGAGCGAGCGGCGGACGGGGGAGUAAUGUAUGGGGACUGCCCGAUAGAGGGGGAUAACUACUGGAAACGGUAGCUAAUACCGCAUACUAUCGGAUAACCCAUAGGGGAUUAGCUAGUAGGUGAGGUAAUGGCGUACCAAGGCGACGAUCCCUAGCCGGUCUGAGAGGAUGAUCAGCCACACUGGGACUGAGACACGGCCCAGACUCCUACGGAGGCAGCAGUAGGGAAUAUUGCACAAUGGGCGAAAGCCUGAUGGAGCCAUGCCGCGUGUAUGAAGAAGGCCUUAGGAUUGUAAAGUACUGUCAGUCGGGAGGCGUUACCGACAGAAGAAGCACCGGCUAACUCCGUGCCAGCCGCCGCGGUAAUAC
RNAcentral lists this ribosomal RNA (403 nucleotides) under uncultured bacterium. Its description in RNAcentral is "partial 16S ribosomal RNA". It matches the Rfam family "Bacterial small subunit ribosomal RNA", at positions 30 to 526 of the family's 1533-position model. The record is from RNAcentral.